RNAcentral lists this non-coding RNA (26 nucleotides) under Rattus norvegicus (Norway rat). Lineage: Eukaryota; Metazoa; Chordata; Mammalia; Rodentia; Muridae. The record is from RNAcentral.
UGUACCUGGGAAAUGACUUCAAUGGC